GUGCCAGCAGCCGCGGUAAUACGUAGGGUGCAAUCGGGUAUCGGAAUUACUGGGCGUAAGCGUGCGCAGGCGGUUCGGAAAGAAAGAUGUGAAAUCCCCGAGCUUAACUUUGGAACUGCAUUCUUAACUACCGGGCUAGAGUGCUGUAGAGGGAGGUGGAAUUCCGCGUGUAGCAGUGAAAUGCGUAGAUAUGCGGAGGAACACCGAUGGCGAAGGCAGCCUCCUGGGAUAACACUGACGCUCAUGCACGAAAGCGUGGGGAGCAAACAGGAUUAGAUACCCUGGUAGUCCACGCCCUAAACGAUGUCAACUAGCUGUUGGGGCCUUCGGGCCCUUGGUAGCGCAGCUAACGCGUGAAGUUGACCGCCUGGGGAGUACGGUCGCAAGAUUAAAACUCAAAGGAAUUGACGG
RNAcentral lists this ribosomal RNA (411 nucleotides) under uncultured Achromobacter sp. RNAcentral describes it as "bacterial SSU rRNA". It matches the Rfam family "Bacterial small subunit ribosomal RNA", at positions 505 to 916 of the family's 1533-position model. Lineage: Bacteria; Pseudomonadati; Pseudomonadota; Betaproteobacteria; Burkholderiales; Alcaligenaceae. The record is from RNAcentral.